CCUACGGGGGGCAGCAGUGAGGAAUAUUGGUCAAUGGACGAGAGUCUGAACCAGCCACGUAGCGUGAAGGAUGACUGCCCUAUGGGUUGUAAACUUCUUUUAUAUGGGAAUAAAACGUUCCACGUGUGGGAUUUUGUAUGUACCAUAUGAAUAAGGAUCGGCUAACUCCGUGCCAGCAGCCGCGGUAAUACGGAGGAUCCGAGCGUUAUCCGGAUUUAUUGGGUUUAAAGGGAGCGUAGGUGGAUUGUUAAGUCAGUUGUGAAAGUUUGCGGCUCAACCGUAAAAUUGCAGUUGAAACUGGCAGUCUUGAGUACAGUAGAGGUAGGCGGAAUUCGUGGUGUAGCGGUGAAAUGCUUAGAUAUCACGAAGAACUCCGAUUGCGAAGGCAGUUCACUGGACUGCAACUGACACUGAGGCUCGAAAGUGUGGGUAUCAAACAGGAUUAGAUACCCUUGUAGUC
Molecule: ribosomal RNA, 460 nt
Filed under: uncultured bacterium
Lineage: Bacteria
Description: partial 16S ribosomal RNA
Rfam family: Bacterial small subunit ribosomal RNA
Source: RNAcentral